This 1477-nucleotide long non-coding RNA is filed under the name Mus musculus (house mouse). RNAcentral's name for it is "long non-coding RNA chr11:93425325-93426802". Lineage: Eukaryota; Metazoa; Chordata; Mammalia; Rodentia; Muridae. The record is from RNAcentral.
AUAGUUUGGCUGAAAGGCAGAGCAUAGCUCUGAGUGUCAGCAAUUCCUCUCUUUCUCAAACCAGAUUUCUACCUCAAGUUGAUGUCCCUGUGUCUGCUACUUCUCAGUUUGUUUCUUUGGUUUUGUUCUAUUUUGUUUUUUAAUUUGUCUUCCAUGAUGGUCAGUUUUCUAAACCAUAGACACAGUCAUCUCAUAGCUCCACCUAAAACACUCCAGACAUGGUCCUUUAUGAUUCUGAAGUCCAGACUCAGCAGGAACUUGAGCCUCAUCUUUGGGAAUGGCCACUUUGAUGUCUCCCAGUCCUUCUGCAGGCCGUCCUUCAUCACAUCCUUCAUCACUGUGUCUCUGCCUGCAUUGAUUUCUGAAUUCGUAACAUCAUCUUCCUCCCUUCUACCAUUUCACCUCUGCCUGAGCCAGACAGAACCAACUUAUCAUUUGAGGCCCUUCUUUCUCCACUGCCACCUCCUACAGGAAGCCUACUUUGACUUCUAUCCCCAUUCCCAGAGUGUAAGAAUCUUUCUUGGUGCUCCUUCUCAGAAAAAAAAAAAGAGAGAGAUAACAAAAAAAAAACCCUAUGAAUUGAUUAAUUGAACAAGCAUUUAAUAAAUGCUUUCUUUUAUGGGCUUUGUUCUAGGUUCAUGUUUGAUCUUAGGAUCUAAUGAAAGUAAACAUAAAUUUACUCAAAAUCUAUGACACAAGGAAUACAACCAAUAUUCACAUAAGACUAUGUUUAGAUUUGAGACCAAGUUCUCUGAAAACAAUUGACUACUUCAGUGAGUCUUUUGAGAAGGUGACCAGUGAAGCUGGGAUGUAAAUGACAAGACGUUGCUCACAGGAUAGCCCUACUACCUAAUAAUGGACUCCUUUCCUUUGUGAGAUAUCAGAUUCAAGGAAGCUGGGUACUGGCUUACCUAAUGUCACAUCUGACCAGAGUUAGAUAUUUAAAUAUUUGAGCUCAUUGUCAUUCCUCAUUGCAGGCAACAAUUGAACCAACUCAGUAAACUAGAUUGUGGUCUCCUUAAGGAAAGUGACCACCACUCCCAACCCAACUACAUGAUUGUGGGCUCAUUGUAUCCUCCCUAUCUUUCAGAGCUGCCCUCCCUCCCAUCCCAAGUCCAAACUGGACUCACUUUAACAACCGAUAGAGUCUCUGGUCCUGAAGGCUUGGCCCAAAACUGCAGAGUGUCAAGCCUGCAGCAUCCACAGCCUGUAUCACUGAUGCUCUUUGGUACCAAAUGCUGCUGAGAAACAACUGCAUGCAGUGGGGAAAGCGUGUUAGGAAAGGCCAGAAAGGCCUUAAUUUAAAUUCUGGCUCCAACACUGUCAUUCUGUAGGACAUUCAACAAAUCAUUUAACCUUUCUGAAUCUGUUUUUCACAUCUGUUCAGUGGGCAAGCUUCCUUGAGAUAAAAGACUAUUUUUUUAGGUAUGAUUUGCAUAUGACCAUAAGGACUGUAUCUUAUCUCUGUAAUCCAUUU